This 1481-nucleotide long non-coding RNA is filed under the name Phaseolus vulgaris (common bean). RNAcentral's name for it is "long non-coding RNA (PVUL_LNC005215)". The record is from RNAcentral. Lineage: Eukaryota; Viridiplantae; Streptophyta; Magnoliopsida; Fabales; Fabaceae.
GGUUUCGUCUUCUUUCUUUCUCCCUUCAGUCAGGUUGUUAGAGUUUCAUCGUGAUUCUUCUCGUUUCGAUGCUAUUCCUUCGGGUAUCGAUUUCUCAAGGUCAGGUAGAUGCCGAAUGGGGUACCUGCAGAAGGCAUUCCGACACUUAAGUGUAAAAAAUGUAUUAGGAACUCAGGAGUGUACAACGGUAACAAUGUACCUUUCUUCUUGAAAUGUGUGCUAUUUAUAUUAUUUUAAUGAGUUUAGGACCGGAUUAGUGAAAUGGAUCACGUUUAGGAGCGUACUAUCUAAUUCUUAAUGGCGGUUUAGCUUUACUGACCUUGAUUUGAGUUAAUGAAUUAAGUGUGUCGGUCGGCCUACACGUCCGUACAGGUCUCGAUCAGGGAGACCAAGUCGUGAUAAUGACCGUCGGUCCAUACGGUACAAAAUCUAUCUUAACGUCUUUUCUUUUUACAUUUAUUUAUAUACUAUAAGAUGUUUUUGAAGAGAAUGCAAAAUAUGAUUAAACCCAAAGCAUCCACAUUGAGCCUACAAUGACUAGCACAAGUGAUUCAUCCCUAACAUGUGUAAUGCAAGAUGAAGGCAUAGAAAUAGAAGGUUAAUUUGAUAUGACAGAGGUUUUACAGGAAGUGAAGUAUUGAAGCCUUUUGUGAGGUCUUUUACUUGUAGGCCAAAGUGACCCUACUGGCCACCAUCUUGCAACCUUUCUCCAUUCCUCUUCCUCCGUGUGUGACCGACAAAAUAGUGCUUGCCUCAAUCUUGUAAAAUUUGUUUACACAUACAGAUCAAGAAAGAAGCUCUUGCAAGUUGUAAUUGAAAAUUGAGGGUGCACAAGUCCCCAUUAAGCAGCACAUUAAUUAUUUGCUUCACUUGAGGCUACACUACGUGUGUUACUUUCGAAUCUGUUUUGUGGGGUUAUUAUUUCUACGAAUUGCUGAAGCCGUGUGUGUAGCAAGACUUGAGCUCAAUAAUAGUGCCUCCGUGUCUUGUGAUUUUGUGGUUUGCUUCCAGGGAACCAUGCCUCAAGUUCAUGUACUUCGACACCUCAUACUUAAAUUGUAGUUGGAUUCAUGGGGCACUGAUCCACAAGAUCAAUUUGAAAAGAGGUUCGAACCUUCUGCUUCCAUUAGCAGACAAAAUUGAACAUCAAAUUAUUGGCUCAGCACAAAGUUCUUUAAUAUGCAUUUUGUUUUGAUUAUCCAAAUUCACUCAUAAAUCAUAAUCUUCCUCUCAGACCAGUUAUCUGCAUAUUUGGGGUUAUAAUGGCACAGUUAACAAAUUCUGAGUUAUUAGCAGAACAGUGAGUGUACCUGCUUUUUUUUUUUGUUUAUCAAAGAGAGAAAACAAACAUUGAGGGGAAUUGAAGUUAGAUUCACAAUGGUUAGUAUUUGUCCCUAUUCAACGUUUUAUUCUGAAGGUUUGUUUAUACUAAAAGUGUGCAUUGUUAGCAAUCUAUAUGUACUCAUUUUCUUGAUUGAUCA